Long non-coding RNA from Carassius auratus (goldfish), 4013 nucleotides. The record is from Ensembl. NCBI's taxonomy places the organism in Eukaryota, Metazoa, Chordata, Actinopteri, Cypriniformes, Cyprinidae.
AUGACUUCCUUUACAAAGGCUGAGGAGGAGCUCCAGGACAAUCACCAAACGAAGGCAUACGAGAAUUUACAACACAAUCAGCAGAGGAGAAGGCAGCUCCAGAAUGAUCUUCAAUCACAGCAGCGAAAUCAUCGCCUGAGCAGGGCAGCCUGGCUGCAGGGCCGCUGGUUGGAGAUCAGUGAGCAGGAGCGCAGGGCUCAGAUCAAGAACCAAAAGCUGUUGCAGGACUUUCAGAGAGCACAAGACACGCUCAAUGACAUGGUGGCCCGCACUGAAGCCAUGAACACUAUACGGGUUCAGUAUGAACAGUAUCUGCAAGAGAGCUUCCCACGAUGGCAGCAAAGGCUCAAAGACAUAAGAGUUUCUGAAAAGUCAAAGCAGGUACAACAGCACUUAAAGAGCUAUAUUCAGAAGAUGGAAGAGGAAGAAGGCAUCAAGUCUGAACACAGGUCUGACUUUAGAGCCCACCUUCUAUCCUCCAAUUUUCCAGACGCAUCUCAGCCUUCACACACCAUGCUAAACACUCAUCAGAAAGUAAAAGACAUCAAGCUAAAUUCUGAAAGAUGCGACCAUGAUCCUUACAUUCCACCUACUUGGUUAACUGGCUCACAGCUUUCUAUUUCCGGACUCCCCCAAAACAAUGUCGCAAAGGAUUACAAAAACCUUCAGAACACUCAAGCCUUAAAUCAUGCCUUGCCACCUUACUAUUCUUUAACUGGCGAUAUAGUCCAUCAGUUACAUUCUCCAGUCCAGCAAAAGCCACCAUCAAUGGACCAUCUGUGGGCUGGGAUAAGACAAGGGUCUAUGCCUACAGCUCACUUCACUCCUCCUGCUGCUUCCUGGCCACGACUUCCUGUGCUGAACCCCAUGACGUGGGGUAUGAUGGAUGCACCAGUCCCCAGUGAAGAAACAAUCCAAUGCAGUGAGCCAGACAAGGAAAAGGUGACACAAGCUAAACCAAAACACAAGAGGAAAGGGAAAGGGAGUGAUCGGUCUUCUGAGCUCGACUGUAGACCAGUGCGUCUGUCAAUCAACCAUGAAGAAAGUAGUGAUAGCAGCGCUGUGUCCUCUAAAGUCACAGUUUCUGGGAUGCAAAAACGGAGAAAGAAAAAAAUUGAUGGGACAAAUUCAUACUCUACAGAAAAUAAGGAUGAAUCUCAUGGCUCUUCCACUAUGUCACAAGAUGCUUCACAUAGUAACUCGGGCCCAAAAAUCAACCACAAACAUCAAAAGCAGUUUAAUAAGUGCAACAGCAAAGAAUCUGUUAUCACAGAGAAGGCUGUUGAUGCAGUGAUGCAAGAUGAAGACGAACAGGAAGAAAGCAAGAGCCAAGAAAUUUCUCAGAGUAGUGUCAGCUCUGAAAAGAAAGAUGGAUCUGAAGGACUUAAUGUUAGAGAGGAAGAAGAAGAGUCUAAUGAAGAAGAUGAUGACAGUCAUGAUAUCAUUGUGGCCGAGGAGAAAAUAAGUCACAGACAAGCUAAGGACGAAGAAGAGGAUGAGGAAAGCACAGAUGGAGAUGAGGAAGCAGGUUUUGAUGAUGAAGCACAGGGAGGCAAUGAAGAAGGGAGUGAGAAAAUGACGGGAAAGAGAGAUGGGACUGAACGCAGUCAUAGAGAAGAGCCAGAAAGGGAAGGCGAUGUUCCAGAUGACAUUCCAGAUUGUGGAGAUGGAGGAGAAACAACGGAGGAAGAGGAGGGAGACAAUAGUUUCCAAAAUACAAAGGAGGCUAGAAAGACUCAAGAAACUGUAGAAGAUGAAAAAGAUAUUCACAAAAGCCUCGAGGAGUCUGAAGAGGAAGAGGUUUACAAUCGAGAAACAGAAGAUGAUGAAGAAGAAGAAGAUGACGAGGUUGUGGUUGAGAAAGCAUACCCCUGGUCACGAGACCCUUUUGAUGAUCAUACAAAAUGCCCUGAGGAUGAUGAGGAUGAUAUUGAAAGUCUUCUCAACCCUGUCAACUCCCAAACACAGCAGGAGGAUGAUAUGAAGGAGACAGACCAAUCAAAUGAUCAACCCUCUGAUUUAGAGGAGGAAAAUCUACCACAGAAGAGUCAUCCUGCAGCCACAAAUGAGAUCGUGGAGUCUGAUGAUGAGUUUGACCACUUCUAUGAUUAAACCAGAAACUACAACAGAAAGAUGGGAGACAGAAAAAGAACAGAACAGAAAGAGAAAACCAACAAUGGAUGAAUACGCUGAACAGAAGCUGCAAUAACUCAAUGCUUUCAGAAAAUGAGCAAGGUGCACACCCUAAACAGCAGCUUCAGACCAGCCAGAGAGCCACAAGGCCGAGCAAUGAAUAGAGGAAUCACAUUACAAAGGGAUGAAAGAGGAAAGAAAGGGAUAAAUAGAUGCUGGGUGUCCCUCAUCUUUUUUUGUUAUUUGCUGGUAGCUUAUCUGACUGUCCUGAAAGAACCGCACCACUGUCACUCUGCAAACACAGGUGGAUCCAGAGACGAAGAGAGAAUAAUAGAGGAGAUGAAUAGUGGAUGACGUUAAACGAGAGAAGCCAAGUUAUAGAUUUUAUUCUAAGUGCAUAGCUGGAAUGCUAUCACAUUUCUAAAACAGAAAAGUGUUUCUUUAAUCUAAAUCUAUGUCCUAAAAGGAAUCAAAGUGUUUGCCCUGAGUUCUUUGGAAUUAAUUUAAAUGUAGCAAGAAUUUGAACGCUUUCUCAUUCAGAUAGGGAGCGUGGCCUGAAGCGAGGGGGGUUAGUGAAGUUUCGGGGGAAGUGGGAAGGAGUGCAGGCCUGUCACUGCCUCUGACUGAUGGCUAUUUGAACAGGCAUAUUUACCCGGGCCCUUGUGAAAGGAGACGGAGGGACACUAACGGAGACGCGCAGGCACAGACAGGCAAUAAAAAGCUGGCCACUGUGUAAACAACAUGGCCUAGUCUGUUCGGCCGCUGCCAUGCCAACAGGGCAGCUUCCACUCUCCAGCCAAUCACAUGCCAGCUUUUUGACAAGCGGAACAAAACCCCCAUGAGACGUUUUAAGCAGCCAUCGAAAAAAAUGCUUAUAAAAUAAAAUAUUUCCUUCUGCGUUUGGGUUGUUGAUACGGUUUGGAUGUCCUGCAGAAUGACAUGCUGUACUGUUUCAAACAGCAUUUUGUAAUUCUUUUAGAAUUGUUGCGCAUGCAAUUUAGUUCUUUUAAAAUUUGUCACAACUCAGGAUCAUUUAAAAUUAACUAAAUAUACACAAAUACAUUUACACAGAAUUUAAUUACAUUUAUCAUUUGACAAACUUUUUCACCAACAAUCACCUGGCAGCAGAUCCCUUCCUCCUGCCCCUACCCCCUCACAGUCUGGAUCCACAGCUGGGCUACUGAUGACCUGCAGACAGCAUCUUCACACCCUACAAAUCCACAUUCACACCCUUGUAAUGCUAAGAACUGAAUACACACAUAGCCAGACUUUCAGAUAUUUAGAAAGUCACGUCACAGUCAUCCAUCAUAUCAACAUACAGCCGAAUCUGUUGAUGGGCCGACUUCUAAAGAAGACAAUAAUCUGUGCAGGAACAGAUCAUAGCCCAGAAAGCUCAUGGAGUCCUGACGUCUCGCCCUCUGUCUGAAUCUCGGACACACACUGAGGGGUCUGUGGCUUCUGCUCAGAUCGCUGUGGGUGUCCCUGUGUCCCAUUGUUGAGAAGACACUGCUUUGGGGAGGUCCACCAUUAAGACAGUGUCUUCCUAUUGUUCUCAUACACUCAAACACAAUCCUGCUUACCCAAGAAUCAAAGGUUAGGCUAGCAUUCAGCCCAUGAGACACCACACCAACCACACUAAACAGUCAAAAUCGGUGCAUCUGUAGUUUGAUGGGUUUGUGCAGUUGUAUUGCUGGCACAUGUUAUAAAUAUGCAUUUUAUUUUCAAUUAUUAUUUCAAUUUUUUGUUUAUUUAUUUUUAUAUUAUCAAAUUAUAUUAUCAUACAUAAUAAAAAAUAUAUUUAGAAUUUGUUCUGCCUGUUUGAAAACAUCUAAGCGGCAUACACAUGAAUUUUUAUUUCAAACUCAUUCACUAAUACAUUU